This 459-nucleotide ribosomal RNA is filed under the name uncultured bacterium. Its description in RNAcentral is "partial 16S ribosomal RNA". It matches the Rfam family "Bacterial small subunit ribosomal RNA", at positions 339 to 795 of the family's 1533-position model. The record is from RNAcentral.
CCUCGGGAGGUUGAAGUGAGGAAGAGUGGUCAAGGGGCGAGAGCCGGAACCAGCCAAGUAGCGUGAAGGAGGACGGCCCUACGGGUUGUAAACUUCUUUUAUAAAGGAAUAAAGUGAGGCACGUGUGCCUUUUUGUAUGUACUUUAUGAAUAAGGAUCGGCUAACUCCGUGCCAGCAGCCGCGGUAAUACGGAGGAUCCGAGCGUUAUCCGGAUUUAUUGGGUUUAAAGGGAGCGUAGAUGGGUUGUUAAGUCAGUUGUGAAAGUUUGCGGCUCAACCGUAAAAUUGCAAUUGAUACUGGCAGUCUUGAGUACAGUUGAGGUAGGCGGAAUUCGUGGUGUAGCGGUGAAAUGCUUAGAUAUCACGAAGAACUCCGAUUGCGAAGGCAGCUUACUAAACUGCCACUGACAUUGAUGCUCGAAAGUGUGGGUAUCAAACAGGAUUAGAUACCCUUGUAGUC